GUUCUCUUUGACAGCACAUACACUAAAAUUGGAAUGAAACAGAGAAGAUUAGCAUGGCCCCUCUGCAAGGAUGACAUGCAAAUUCAUGAAGCGUUUCACAUUAAA
Small nuclear RNA from Cynocephalus volans (Philippine flying lemur), 105 nucleotides. Lineage: Eukaryota; Metazoa; Chordata; Mammalia; Dermoptera; Cynocephalidae. The record is from RefSeq and is a predicted model, not a curated record.